AAAUAACCAAUCAUCAUGAUGAAUCAUACUACUCUGUUACAGGAAUUCCUUUCUGUUUGGAAAUUUCUGCAAAUUCAUCUGGUUUGUCGAUAACCUAACACAAAGCGUUUCAAUGAAUAAAGGAAAGCAAAACUUAUUUAUCUGUUUAAUCUUAUUUUUUAAAAACCUUCAAGUUUCUUUAAUUUAAUACGUACUGCAUUUAAAUGUAUUAUUUUUCAUCAACAAUAAAGAAUUCACACAAAAAUUUAUGUUUUUAAAUAUUUUGGAUGUCUUUUUUUAGCAAGAGAGGACUUAUUCAAGAUACAUUGCCCUUGUUUUGCAGUAAUUAGUCAAUUCUUACUGUUUACUUAGGCUAAGACUGUGUUCUUCUUUAUUUUUCACGUAUAAAAAAACUAAAGUCUAAAUUAUGUUCGCCAUUUAAUAAACUUUUAGUCUACUUUGGAAAAAAGAAAUUCAUGUGUUUUUACUACCAAUUUCGUUUUAUAACUUACUAUUUUAAGACUAGAUCUUCGAUUUCAGACAUUUAAACACAGUAAACACACCGGUACUCGCCUUAA
Long non-coding RNA from Hylaeus volcanicus, 557 nucleotides. RefSeq lists it as uncharacterized. NCBI's taxonomy places the organism in Eukaryota, Metazoa, Arthropoda, Insecta, Hymenoptera, Colletidae. The transcript has 3 exons. The record is from RefSeq and is a predicted model, not a curated record.